CGACGCUGGCGGCGUGCCUAAUACAUGCAAGUCGAGCGGAGCUGAUGAGGUGCUUGCACUUCUGAUGCUUAGCGGCGGACGGGUGAGUAACACGUGGGCAACCUGCCCGGAAGACCGGGAUAACAUUCGGAAACGGAUGCUAAUACCGGAUAAGCGGAUCUUUCGCAUGAAGGGUCCGGGAAAGACGGGGCAACCUGUCACUUUCGGAUGGGCCCGCGGCGCAUUAGCUGGUUGGUGGGGUAACGGCCCACCAAGGCGACGAUGCGUAGCCGACCUGAGAGGGUGAACGGCCACACUGGGACUGAGACACGGCCCAGACUCCUACGGGAGGCAGCAGUAGGGAAUCUUCCGCAAUGGACGCAAGUCUGACGGAGCAACGCCGCGUGAGUGAGGAAGGUCUUCGGAUCGUAAAGCUCUGUUGCCAGGGAAGAAGUCUUGAGAGAGUAACUGCUCUCGAGGUGACGGUACCUGAGAAGAAAGCCCCGGCUAACUACGUG
RNAcentral lists this ribosomal RNA (497 nucleotides) under uncultured Thermobacillus sp. Its description in RNAcentral is "bacterial SSU rRNA". It matches the Rfam family "Bacterial small subunit ribosomal RNA", at positions 33 to 507 of the family's 1533-position model. The record is from RNAcentral. Lineage: Bacteria; Bacillati; Bacillota; Bacilli; Caryophanales; Paenibacillaceae.